AGGUCUUGGUNUUAAACCUCACGUUGUCUUUAUCCCAAACCCAUACAUGCAAGCCUCACCACCCCGGUGAAACAGCCUAUACAACAAAUAGAGCCGACAUCAGGUAGCCACCCAUGACGCCAAGCAACCAGCCACACCCCCACGGGCCUGCAGCAGUACUUAAUAUUGGGCCAUAAGCGAAAGCUUGACCUAAUAAUGGGACACACCACAGGGCCGGUUAAUCUCGUGCCAGCGACCGCGGUUACACGACAGACCCGAGACAACGUCACCGGCGUAAAGCACGACUAAAAAACAGUCUUACACAUUAGGAGAGAGGAAAAACUGGGCUGUAAAAAGCCAUAUGUAUAACAAAUUCACUUACCUAACAAAAAACUACUUCAACUCGUGAAAGCAGGGACACAAACUAAGAUUAGAUACCUUACUAUGCCCCGCCGUAACCCAGCAAUAAAAUAACUGAUUGCUCGCCAAAUAACUACGAGUAGAAACUUAAAAUUUAAAAGACUUGACGGUACUUCACAACAACCUAGAGGAGCCUGUCUAAUAACCGAUAAUCCACGAUUAACCCAACCCGUUUUUGCCCAACAGUCUAUAUACCGCCGUCGCCAGCUUACCUUGUGAAAGAAACAAAGCAAGCCAAACAGUAUUAACACUAACACGACAGGUCGAGGUGUAACAAAUAAACGGGUUAAAGAUGGGCUACAUUUUCUAACCCAGAAAAAACGGAUAAAAGCAUGAAACACAACCUGAAGGCGGAUUUAGCAGUAAAAUAAGAAUAGAAUACUUAUCUGAAAGAUGCAAUGAAGUGCGUACACACCGCCCGUCAUCCCUGUAAAACAACACCAACAUUCAUAAACACAUAAACACCUCAAAGCAGGGCAAGUCGUAACACGGUAAGCAUACUGGAAAGUGUGCUUA
Molecule: non-coding RNA, 915 nt
Filed under: Phytolopsis punctata (Blackwater mud snake)
Lineage: Eukaryota; Metazoa; Chordata; Lepidosauria; Squamata; Homalopsidae
Source: RNAcentral